Molecule: ribosomal RNA, 251 nt
Filed under: uncultured bacterium
Lineage: Bacteria
Description: partial 16S ribosomal RNA
Rfam family: Bacterial small subunit ribosomal RNA
Source: RNAcentral
GCAAGUCGAACGAGGUCCAUGGAGCUUGCUCCGGAAGACCUAGUGGCGAACGGGGCGUAACACGUUAGAAACCUGUCCCGGACUCUGGGGUAACAGUUGGAAACUACUGCUAAUACCGGAUGCCUUCACAUGGUCGCAUGAUCGAGUGAAGAAAGAUGUAUCGGUUUGGGAGGGUCUCGCGGCCUAUCAGCUAGUUGGAGAGGUAACGGCUCACCAAGGCAUCGACGCGUAGCUGGUCUGAGAGGAUGAUC